This 247-nucleotide ribosomal RNA is filed under the name uncultured bacterium. RNAcentral's name for it is "partial 16S ribosomal RNA". It matches the Rfam family "Bacterial small subunit ribosomal RNA", at positions 523 to 769 of the family's 1533-position model. The record is from RNAcentral.
AUACGGAGGGAGCUAGCGUUGUUCGGAAUUACUGGGCGUAAAGCGCACGUAGGCGGCGAUUCAAGUCAGAGGUGAAAGCCCGGGGCUCAACCCCGGAACUGCCUUUGAAACUAGAUUGCUAGAAUCCUGGAGAGGUUAGUGGAAUUCCGAGUGUAGAGGUGAAAUUCGUAGAUAUUCGGAAGAACACCAGUGGCGAAGGCGACUAACUGGACAGGUAUUGACGCUGAGGUGCGAAAGCGUGGGGAGC